RNAcentral lists this transfer RNA (72 nucleotides) under Ovis aries (sheep). It matches the Rfam family "tRNA". From Rfam's summary of the family: Transfer RNA (tRNA) molecules are approximately 80 nucleotides in length. Their secondary structure includes four short double-helical elements and three loops (D, anti-codon, and T loops). Lineage: Eukaryota; Metazoa; Chordata; Mammalia; Artiodactyla; Bovidae. The record is from Rfam by way of RNAcentral.
CACCUUCUGUGGUAGUUGGUAAAGAAUCUGCCUGCAAAGCAGGAGACCUGGGUUCAUUUCCCAGGUUGCUGA